GUAACAAGAUCACAACAAAUAUCACAGGAAGAGCAACCAUUAAGGAAUCAGUUGAGAAAGAAGAACCAUCCCAUCACCGGGUAGAGUGUGGAGAAUCUCCCCGAGAAGAGAGAAUCACAGAAGCCAAGAAAUAGUGUUUCAUGGAGAAGAAUCCAAAGAACAAACACAUAUUACAGAACAGUCAAGAUUGGCCAUAGGACACAGUUACAUCAAUGGAAUGUGAGCAGAUGUGCUAUAAACCAAGACUAGAAGAUGUAGGAGACACCAUCAUUUUCCUUCAGCUCUCUCACUCUUUCAGCUCCACCCCCAGACUGCACCAAAUCUAGAGACUAUUCCUGCAGCCUGGGCUCCAGAGGGAGAAGACACAUGGAGUGGAGCUGGGCAGAUAUCCAGCAGCCAUAGCCAAGUCCUAGAGAAAGGCCCAUAUUGUGAGUAAGAAAUAAAUGUUUGUUGUUUCAAUCCA
Long non-coding RNA from Suricata suricatta (meerkat), 463 nucleotides. RefSeq lists it as uncharacterized. The transcript is spliced from 2 exons. The record is from RefSeq and is a predicted model, not a curated record. Lineage: Eukaryota; Metazoa; Chordata; Mammalia; Carnivora; Herpestidae.